GAAUCUUGCGCAAUGGGCGAAAGCCUGACGCAGCAACGCCGCGUGCGGGAUGAAGGCCUUCGGGUUGUAAACCGCUUUCAGUGGGGACGAAAUUGACGGUACCCACAGAAGAAGCCCCGGCUAACUACGUUCCAGCAGCCGCGGUAACACGUAGGGGGCAAGCGUUGUCCGGAUUUAUUGGGCGUAAAGAGCUCGUAGGCGGUUCGGUAAGUCGGGUGUGAAAACUCAGGGCUCAACCCUGAGACGCCACCCGAUACUGCUGUGACUCGAGUCCGGUAGGGGAGCAUGGAAUUCCUGGUGUAGCGGUGAAAUGCGCAGAUAUCAGGAGGAACACCAGUGGCGAAGGCGGUGCUCUGGGCCGGAACUGACGCUGAGGAGCGAAAGCGUGGGUAGCAAACAG
This 400-nucleotide ribosomal RNA is filed under the name uncultured bacterium. RNAcentral's name for it is "bacterial SSU rRNA". It matches the Rfam family "Bacterial small subunit ribosomal RNA", at positions 359 to 775 of the family's 1533-position model. The record is from RNAcentral.